RNAcentral lists this unclassified non-coding RNA (358 nucleotides) under soil metagenome. RNAcentral's name for it is "partial contains 5.8S ribosomal RNA, internal transcribed spacer 2, and large subunit ribosomal RNA". The stretch from base 1 to 120 matches the Rfam family "5.8S ribosomal RNA", at positions 35 to 154 of the family's 154-position model. The record is from RNAcentral.
GAUGAAGAACGUAGUGAAAUGCGAUACGUAAUGUGAAUUGCAGAAUUCAGUGAAUCAUCGAAUCUUUGAACGCACAUUGCGCCCGUCAGUAUUCUGGCGGGCAUGCCUGUUCGAGCGUCAUUACGCCCCUCAAGUCCCCUGUGGACUUGGUGUUGGGGAUCGGCGAGGCUGGUUUUCCAGCACAGCCGUCCCUUAAAUUAAUUGGCGGUCUCGCCGUGGCCCUCCUCUGCGCAGUAGUAAAACACUCGCAACAGGAGCCCGGCGCGGUCCACUGCCGUAAAACCCCCCAACUUUUUAUAGUUGACCUCGAAUCAGGUAGGACUACCCGCUGAACUUAAGCAUAUCAAUAAGCGGAGGA